RNAcentral lists this ribosomal RNA (1149 nucleotides) under Triticum aestivum (bread wheat). Its description in RNAcentral is "partial small subunit ribosomal RNA". The record is from RNAcentral. Lineage: Eukaryota; Viridiplantae; Streptophyta; Magnoliopsida; Poales; Poaceae.
AUGGUGGCCGAGGCGGAGGUGAUGCAUCAGCAGCCGGCGCCCGUUCUGGAGGUGCAGUACCGCCGGUGCGUCGCCAAGGGGGCCGGGAUGUCGGCGGUCGCCGUGCCGGAGGUGGAGGUGGAGGUCGCCGUCGAGCUGCCUCGCAUGGGAUUGGCGAACACCGAUGGUGCGACGAGUGUGUCCGCUGAGACACUACAGUUUGUACCCAAUAUUCGGUCUGGAAGCUUUGCUGAUAUCGGACCUAGGAGGUACAUGGAAGAUGAACACAUCCGGAUAGAUGAUCUUUCAGCUCAUCUUGGCUCGCUGUUGGUGUGCCCACUACCUAGUGCCUUCUAUGGGGUCUUUGAUGGCCAUGGGGGUCCGGAUGCUGCAGCCUACAUGAAAAGGCAUGCCAUGAGGUUCCUGUUUGAGGAUAGAGAGUUCCCACAAGCAUUGCAAGUGGAUGAUGUAUUCCUUCAGUCCGUCGAGGAAUGCAUUCGCAGCGCGUUCUUGCAAGCCGAUCUUGCUCUGGCAGAUAAUUUAGACAUCAGCCGCUCCUCCGGAACUACCGCACUCGCAGCAUUAGUAUUUGGGAGGCAACUGUUGGUUGCGAACACCGGUGACUGCCGAGCGGUCCUUUGCCGGAGAGGCAUAGCGAUGGAGAUGUCUCGGGACCACAGGGCAAACUACGCCGAGGAGUGCGAGAGGGUGGCCGCCUCCGGCGGAUACAUCGAGGACGGGUACCUCAACGGGGUGCUCUCGUUGACGCGUGCCCUAGGCGACUGGGACAUGAAGGUGCCCGACUGCUCCACGUCGCCCCUCAUCGCGGAGCCCGAGUUCCAGCAGGCGACGCUGAGCGAGGACGACGAGUUCCUCAUCAUGGGCUGCGACGGCAUCUGGGACGUGAUGACGAGCCAGCACGCGGUGAGCGUGGUCCGGCGGGGCCUGCGGCAGCACGACGACCCCGAGCGGUGCGCGCGGGAGCUCGUCAUGGAGGCGAAGCGGCUCGAGACGGCCGACAACCUGACCGUCAUCGUGGUGUGCUUCGGGUCGGAGCUCGGGUCACCGCCGCCGCCCCCCGCUGCCGCGGCGGCGAGGCCGAGGAGCUGCAAGGGCCUGUCGGCGGAGGCCCUGUGCAACCUGAGGAGCUGGCUGGAGACUGACCGCUAG